GCUGUUGCCCGGCUCUUACCUGAAACCCUUCCCUCUCCCCAAAAGUGGGUUGGGCUGAAGUGUCCUUUGCCCGCUGGCUGCCUGCGGGUCAAACUGUGCUUCAGGCAGCUAUGGGACCCUACCUCGGCCAAAGCUUCGGGAACCUAGGAAUGACAAAGUCUGCAUAUUCAGUACAGAUGUUUCCAGAAUACUUUAGUGUGCAGUUGAUUGAAUCUGGAUGCAGAACUUGGAGCCAUGGAGGACCAAGAACGUUGAAAAUGCAACAAUAAGGGGAAAUGCAAUUUAAAAGUGGGCUGAAAAGUAAAGACAGACUUUAUUAGAGAAUAUACACAUGGUAUCCACAGUUGCUAGAAUGCCCCCAUUAAAUGGCCUGUCAGGAGGAAAUAAAUCUCCAUCUUGUUUUCGUGUGCUAUUACAUGGGCUUUGCCUCACAACAAAGGAACCUAAUUUUGACCGACUCAAGAAAGUUUGAACCCUGAAGUCAUCGCUUUGAAAAUAAAAGGCUUGUUUAUGUAAGUG
This 519-nucleotide long non-coding RNA is filed under the name Rattus norvegicus (Norway rat). Its description in RNAcentral is "long non-coding RNA NONRATT018416". Lineage: Eukaryota; Metazoa; Chordata; Mammalia; Rodentia; Muridae. The record is from RNAcentral.